GAUGAACGCUGACAGAAUGCUUAACACAUGCAAGUCUUUGGCGAAGCUGUGCUUGCACAGCCUAGCCAAGGCGGACGGGUGAGUAACGCGUAAGGAACUUGCCCUGCAGUCAGGGAUAACAGACGGAAACGACUGAUAAGACCUGGUAAAGUCAGGCGGACCCAUGUCCAGCCUGAUGAAAAGAGAUGCUGCAGGAGAGCCUUGCGUCCUAUUAGCUUGUUGGUGGGGUAACGGCCCACCAAGGCGAUGAUAGGUAGCCGGCCUGAGAGGGUGGACGGCCACAAGGGGACUGAGAUACGGCCCUUACUCCUACGGGAGGCAGCAGUGGGGAAUAUUGGACAAUGGGGGCAACCCUGAUCCAGCAAUUCUGUGUGCACGAUGAAGGUUUUCGGAUUGUAAAGUGCUUUCAGCAGGGAAGAAAAAAAUGACGGUACCUGCAGAAGAAGCGACGGCUAAAUACGUG
This 463-nucleotide ribosomal RNA is filed under the name uncultured bacterium. RNAcentral describes it as "partial 16S ribosomal RNA". It matches the Rfam family "Bacterial small subunit ribosomal RNA", at positions 28 to 507 of the family's 1533-position model. The record is from RNAcentral.